AGAAAACAGAGGGAGGCCAACUGGUUCACUAGCAUGGCUGUGGAGUAACAGAAAACAGAGGGAGGCCAACUGGUUCACUAGCAUGGCUGUGGAGUAACAGAAAACAGAGGGAGGCCAACUGGUUCACUAGCAUGGCUGUGGAGUAACAGAAAACAGAGGGAGGCCAACUGGUUCACUAGCAUGGCUGUGGAGUAACAGAAAACAGAGGGAGGCCAACUGGUUCACUAGCAUGGCUGUGGAGUAACAGAAAACAGAGGGAGGCCAACUGGUUCACUAGCAUGGCUGUGGAGUAACAGAAAACAGAGGGAGGCCAACUGGUUCACUAGCAUGGCUGUGGAGCAGCAGAAAAGAGAGAGAGGCCAACUGGUUCACUAGCAUGGCUGUGGAGCAGCAGAAAACAGAGAGAGGCCAACUGGUUCACUAGCAUGGCUGUGGAGCAGCAGAAAACAGAGGGAGGCCAACUGGUUCACUAGCAUGGCUGUGGAGCAGCAGAAAACAGAGGGAGGCCAACUGGUUCACUAGCAUGGCUGUGGAGCAGCAGAAAACAGAGGGAGGCCAACUGGUUCACUAGCAUGGCUGUGGAGAAGCAGAAAACAGAGGGAGGUUCACUAGCAUGGCUGUGGAGCAGCAGA
Long non-coding RNA from Oncorhynchus tshawytscha (Chinook salmon), 632 nucleotides. RefSeq lists it as uncharacterized. The record is from RefSeq and is a predicted model, not a curated record. NCBI's taxonomy places the organism in Eukaryota, Metazoa, Chordata, Actinopteri, Salmoniformes, Salmonidae. The transcript is spliced from 3 exons.